AGAGUUUGAUCAUGGCUCAGAGUGAUCGCUGGCGGCGUGCUUAACACAUGCAAGUCGAGCGAAUUUCUGCAGUGUAUCGCAGGAGUUAGCGGCAGACGGGUGAGUAAUACUUGGGCAAUCUGCCCUUGAGUGGGAAACAACCGGCCGAAAGGCUGGCUAAUGUCCCCAUAAGACCACAGGGGAUGCAUAUUCCAGGGGUCAAAGCUCCGCAAGGGGCGCUUGAGGAGGAGCCCGAGUCCUAUCAUGGUAGUUGGUGAGGUAACGGCUCACCAAGCCUUUGACGGGUAGCCGGCCUGAAAGGGUGAUCGGCCACACUGGCACUGAGACACGGGCCAGACUCCUACGGGAGGCAGCAGUGGGGAAUUUUGGACAAUGGGGGCAACCCUGAUCCAGCGACGCCGCGUGAAGGACGAAGAUCUUCGGAUUGUAAACUUCUUUUGGAGGGGAUGAACGCCCUGGUGAAUAGCCAGGGGUGACAGUACUCUCAGAAUAAGCCACGGCUAACUACGUGCCAGCAGCCGCGGUAAUACGUAGGUGGCAAGCGAUACUCGGAAUCACUAGGCGUAAAGCGCAGGUAGGCGGUUUGGUAAGUCUUUUGUGAAAGCUCCCGGCUCAACUGGGAGAGGUCAAGGGAAACUACCGGACUAGAGUGUGGUAGGGGAUACUGGAAUUCCUGGUGUAGCGGUGAAAUGCGUAGAUAUCAGGAGGAAUACCUAUGGCGAAAGCAGGUAUCUGGGCCAUCACUGACGCUGAGCUGCGAAAGCUAGGGGAGCAAACAGGAUUAGAUACCCUAGUAGUCC
RNAcentral lists this ribosomal RNA (800 nucleotides) under uncultured bacterium. RNAcentral describes it as "bacterial SSU rRNA". It matches the Rfam family "Bacterial small subunit ribosomal RNA", at positions 8 to 796 of the family's 1533-position model. The record is from RNAcentral.